This 474-nucleotide ribosomal RNA is filed under the name uncultured bacterium. RNAcentral describes it as "bacterial SSU rRNA". It matches the Rfam family "Bacterial small subunit ribosomal RNA", at positions 97 to 587 of the family's 1533-position model. The record is from RNAcentral.
GGCGAACGGGUGAGUAAUGUAUCGGAACGUGCCCAGUCGUGGGGGAUAACGUAGUGAAAAUUACGCUAAUACCGCAUACGAUCUAUGGAUGAAAGCGGGGGAUCGCAAGACCUCGCGCGAUUGGAGCGGCCGAUAUCAGAUUAGGUAGUUGGUGAGGUAAAGGCUCACCAAGCCAACGAUCUGUAGCUGGUCUGAGAGGACGACCAGCCACACUGGAACUGAGACACGGUCCAGACUCCUACGGGAGGCAGCAGUGGGGAAUAUUGGGCAAUGGGCGAAAGCCUGACCCAGCGACGCCGCGUGCGGGAUGAAGGCCUUCGGGUUGUAAACCGCUUUCAGCAAGGAAGAAGCGAAAGUGACGGUACCUGAAGAAGAAGCACCGGCUAACUAUGUGCCAGCAGCCGCGGUAAUACAUAGGGUGCAAGCGUUAAUCGGAAUUACUGGGCGUAAAGCGUGCGCAGGCGGUUAUAUAAG